CGAUUCUGGCUCAGGAUGAACGCUAGCGACAGGCUAACACAUGCAAGUCGAGGGGCAUCACGGGAGUAGCAAUACAACUGGUGGCGACCGGCGCACGGGUGAGUAACGCGUAUGCAACCUACCUAUCAGAGGGGAAUAACCCGGCGAAAGUCGGACUAAUACCGCAUAAAACAGGGGCACCGCAUGGUGAUAUUUGUUAAAGAAAUUCGCUGAUAGAUGGGCAUGCGUUCCAUUAGGUAGUUGGUGAGGUAACGGCUCACCAAGCCGACGAUGGAUAGGGGAACUGAGAGGUUGGUCCCCCACACUGGUACUGAGACACGGACCAGACUCCUACGGGAGGCAGCAGUGAGGAAUAUUGGUCAAUGGGCGGGAGCCUGAACCAGCCAAGUCCGCGUGAAGGAAGAAGGAUCUAUGGUUCGUAAACUUCUUUUGCAGGGGAAUAAAGUGCGGUACGUGUACCGUUUUGUAUGUGCCCUUCGAAUAAGGAUCGGCUAACUCCGUGCCAGCCGCCGC
RNAcentral lists this ribosomal RNA (513 nucleotides) under uncultured bacterium. RNAcentral's name for it is "bacterial SSU rRNA". It matches the Rfam family "Bacterial small subunit ribosomal RNA", at positions 14 to 518 of the family's 1533-position model. The record is from RNAcentral.